This 253-nucleotide ribosomal RNA is filed under the name uncultured bacterium. RNAcentral's name for it is "partial 16S ribosomal RNA". It matches the Rfam family "Bacterial small subunit ribosomal RNA", at positions 524 to 776 of the family's 1533-position model. The record is from RNAcentral.
UACGUAGGGUGCAAGCGUUGUCCGGAAUUAUUGGGCGUAAAGAGCUCGUAGGCGGUUUGUCGCGUCUGCUGUGAAAACUCGGGGCUUAACCCCGGGCCUGCAGUGGGUACGGGCAGACUAGAGUGCGGUAGGGGAGACUGGAAUUCCUGGUGUAGCGGUGAAAUGCGCAGAUAUCAGGAGGAACACCAAUUGCGAAGGCAGCUCGCUGGGACGUUACUGACGCUGAGACGCGAAAGCGUGGGGAGCAAACAGG